AAUAAUUUAUUUGAUGGUUUCUUACUACAUGGAUAACUGUAGUAAUUCUAGAACUAAUACAUGCGUAAAGUCCCGACUCUUGCGGGGAGGGAUGUAUUUAUUAGAUAAAAAACCAAUGCGGACUCUGUCCGGUUUUGUGGUGAAUCAUAGUAACUUUUCGAAUCGCAUGGCUUCACGCCGGCGAUAGUUCAUUCAAAUUUCUGCCCUAUCAGCUUUCGACGGUAGUGUAAUGGACUACCGUGGCGUUAACGGGUAACGGAGAAUUAGGGUUCGAUUCCGGAGAGGGAGCCUGAGAAACGGCUACCACA
Molecule: ribosomal RNA, 308 nt
Filed under: uncultured eukaryote
Lineage: Eukaryota
Description: SSU rRNA
Rfam family: Eukaryotic small subunit ribosomal RNA
Source: RNAcentral